This 578-nucleotide small RNA is filed under the name Pan troglodytes (chimpanzee). RNAcentral's name for it is "processed transcript". Lineage: Eukaryota; Metazoa; Chordata; Mammalia; Primates; Hominidae. The record is from RNAcentral.
GUAAGAAGCCGAACUCUGAGGCCUCUCGCCAUUGUCUCCGAGUCGGCCAGCUGGAGCGUUUUCGGGGCCGUAAAGGGAGAGUGGCGCAUGCGCAUAUUCGGGGCGGAAGGCGCGCUAAGAGCAGUCCUUAAAUUAUUGUAGCGCACGUUACUUAAAUCCAGAAGCAGAUGUGUACCCCAGCAAGAGAUAAAAUGACGCUGAGUCAGUAGAUCCAGACCGUGCUUGAGAUCCUGAAUCCUGUUUCCUACCCACUAUUCAGCCAUUGGGUCACAAGCGAUGAAAAGAGCACCUUGAAGGUCCUGACCAGCUCUAAAGAUGGGUCAGCUGCUGUAUUUCCAAGAACCCCAUGACUUCCAGGGCCCCUUGUUCCCAGGAGGGCCCCACACCCCAGUCGUCCUGUGCAUAACCUCACGGGCCAGCACCUGGUAGCUGCUGGAAGGCUUCUGGGGGAUGCCUGGGCCCCUCCAGCCCUACCUCUAGUCCUGCCACUUUACAACUGAGCACCUCCCGCUGCUGCCUGCUGAGCCCUUCAGAGUCCUUGCCACAGGCCCUGUUGACUUUUUCCUGAGAAGAUUUAU